UUAUCUCUCUCCGCCACUCGUACGAGCCUCGUCGCCGCCCGUGAGCUCCGGCCGUUGGUGCCUAAGCAGAGCCCCAAUCCUCCUCCGGCGACCUCUUCUCCAGCGCAGCCUCCGUGCCGGCGACCUACCAAAUAGUUUCUCCGCUGGGCUCGGCAGUAGCGCUCCCUGCCCACGGACGCGCGCGAGGAGAGACGGCGGCUCGAUCUCUCUCUUCGCGCUUCCGCCACGGCCCUUUUCUUCUCCGUUUGCCGGCGCCGCUUCGGCCCUUCCUCCGCCACCGGCAUCGUCUGCUCCUCCUCCGUGUCCGGGCACCCGAAGCAGCAGCAGCUUAAGUUGCCUUCCUUAUCUGCUGAAUUUAGCAGCGCUCGUUUUGGGGGGCUGGGUUUGUGUCAUGGAGAUACUUAACUGUAAGGGCGUUCGUUUUAGCUUGACAGGCAUCAAUGGAACCAGAGCCAACCAGUUAGUGAAGAUAGGAUCCCAACAUCAACGAGUUGGCCGGGCAAGGUCAGUAACAUGCUGUGAGUACUCUCCUGAUCCUGCUAGCAAGAAGCAUGAGAGGUAUCAGCAACAACCACAAAAUGUUGAUCUCCCAGAAUUACACCCGAAGAACAAAAAGAAGCCCUUUCCUGUCCCAAUUAAGAAGAUGUUGCAAGCUUCCCGCAAAGACAAGCGGCUUGCACAGAUGAGGAUAGAGAAGCCUCUUGAGCCCCCAAAGAACGGCUUGCUUUUACCAGAGCUUGUCCCUGUUGCUUAUGAAGUCCUUGAUAACUGGAAAAUUCUCAUCAGAGGCAUCUCUCAACUUCUGAAUGUUGUUACAGUUUAUGGUUGCAGAAAAUGCCCUCAAGUACAUGUUGGCCCAGUUGGCCACCAGAUACAAGAUUGCUAUGGCUCAGGAAGCCAGCGUCGAAAUAGUCACCACUCUUGGGUCAGAGGAUCCAUCAACGAUGUGCUCAUCCCGAUUGAAUCUUACCAUCUUUUUGACCCAUUUGGGCGGAGGGUCAAGCAUGACACCAGGUUUGACUUCGACAGGAUUCCAGCAAUUGUUGAGCUAUGCAUUCAGGCUGGUGUCGACUUACCACAAUAUCCCACAAGGAGACGGACUGCUCCUGUGCGGAUGAUUGGCAAGAAGGUUAUUGACCGUGGCGGAGUUGUCGAUGAGCCUAAGCCACACCGAUCGGAGGACUGUAUAUCUCUUCUUGCUGAGCUUGACACAUUUAGCAACCAACAGGGCCAGUCACCUGUGCCAUCCAAUGUGAAAGAGCACGCAGAGAGGACGCUGAAAGCAUACUGCGAUGUCCGUCGGGGUGUCGCACAGCUAAUGAGCAAGUACACGGUAAAAGCAUGCGGGUAUUGCUCUGAGGUCCACAUUGGUCCAUGGGGACACAAUGUGAAGCUCUGUGGGGCUUUCAAGCACCAGUGGCGAGACGGCAAGCAUGGGUGGCAAGAUGCGGUUGUCGAUGAGGUCAUACCACCCAACUACGUAUGGCAUGUCCCUGACCCUGCUGGCCCUCCUCUCAGAUCCUCUCUAAGAAGUUUCUAUGGCAAAGCUCCGGCCGUCGUCGAGCUAUGUGUGCAGGCGGGAGCUGAAAUACCUGAAGAGUACCGGCCAAUGAUGAGGACUGAUAUCAUCAUCCCAGACCCCGACGAAGCUCGGAUGGCUGCAUGAAAACAAUGUUCUGCCCUGCACUUCUGAAGUUGCCCGGAAUCCAAAUUCGAGCCAUGGGUGCUUGUCUCAUGGUUGGGCCCUCUCAAAAUUGCUCGGGCAGCGGCAAAUGCAUUGGCUGUAUUAUAAUACUAUGGCUGAACCAUGAGCAGACAUGCUCUCAAAUUGAUUCGUAGAUCUGCUAAAAGUAUUCAUCAAAAGAUGCACAACUUGAAGAAAGGAAGUGGAAAAGGAUGUCCUCCGCUACGGUGCAUAUGACCUUGUUUAAUGGCGUCAGAUGCCUUAUUCUUCCCUAUGCUAGACUGUGAGGCACUUACGAUGGCUCGAUACAGAUGGCUUCCCCCUUUCCUCUGCUGGUACCAUGCUUAAUGGCGAGCUGAUUCUUGGGAUUAAACUAAUCACCGAGAUUUGUUCGGGUAUUUGUGCGUCUGGCUGUGAUUAAUCAUGGACUAAAAGCUGUGCAACUUGUACCUGCCCCCAGAAUCCCAGAUCAUCGCUCCCGGUGCGGCUACAUGUAUACCAUCAAAUUUAUAUCGGUAUAAUGUACUCUCUCCUCUACUCUUUUGUGCUGUAUACUCUGUAACAUGGCUGCAAAAGCUGUAUCAAAUGGAUGGUUAGAGAGCCAUGAAGUAGACCUAUGUUUUCUUUCUAAAGGAUCCACGGCAGGCUAUUCAGCCAGCCUGAACAAUGCCUCCAUGGCUCUUCUCAGCAGUGAACUGCAUUUCAUAAAGCAUUUGCAGUUAUAAUUUGUA
This is an RNA transcript of Hordeum vulgare subsp. vulgare (domesticated barley), 2415 nucleotides long. It is a transcript of the gene named heavy metal-associated isoprenylated plant protein 35-like, with no coding region annotated. The transcript is spliced from 5 exons. The record is from RefSeq and is a predicted model, not a curated record. Lineage: Eukaryota; Viridiplantae; Streptophyta; Magnoliopsida; Poales; Poaceae.